AUGCUCGCUUUGGCAGCUUGAGCACCUACUAAAAUUGGAACCAUACGGAGAUUAGCAUGGCCUCUGUGCAAGGAUGACAUAAGAAGCAUUCCAUUUAAAA
This 100-nucleotide small nuclear RNA is filed under the name Pan troglodytes (chimpanzee). Lineage: Eukaryota; Metazoa; Chordata; Mammalia; Primates; Hominidae. The record is from RNAcentral.